GUGAGGAAUAUUGCGCAAUGGAGGCAACUCUGACGCAGCCAUGCCGCGUGCAGGAAGAAGGCGCUACGCGUUGUAAACUGCUUUUAACCGGGAAGAAACCCCAGGACGUGUCCUGGGUUGACGGUACCGGAGGAAUAAGCACCGGCUAACUUCGUGCCAGCAGCCGCGGUAAUACGAAGGGUGCAAGCGUUAUCCGGAUUCAUGGGGUUUAAAGGGUGCGUAGGCGGAGCGUUAAGUCAGUGGUGAAAUCCUGCAGCUUAACUGUAGACUUGCCAUUGAUACUGGCGCUCUUGAGUGCGCUUGAAGUGGGCGGAAUGUGCCGUGUAGCGGUGAAAUGCUUAGAUAUGGCACAGAACACCGAUAGCGAAGGCAGCUUGCUGAACCAUUAUUGACGCUGAGGCACGAAAGCGUGGGGAGCGAACAGGAUUAGAAACCCUAGUAGUCC
Molecule: ribosomal RNA, 445 nt
Filed under: uncultured bacterium
Lineage: Bacteria
Description: partial 16S ribosomal RNA
Rfam family: Bacterial small subunit ribosomal RNA
Source: RNAcentral